This 332-nucleotide ribosomal RNA is filed under the name uncultured eukaryote. Its description in RNAcentral is "partial 18S ribosomal RNA". It matches the Rfam family "Eukaryotic small subunit ribosomal RNA", at positions 1470 to 1796 of the family's 1831-position model. The record is from RNAcentral.
CCCUUAGAUGUCCUGGGCUGCACGCGCGCUACACUGGAAGUUACGGAUUGAGAUACUACCUUGUCCGAAAUGGUCCGGGUAAUCACCUAAAAGCCUGUCAUAAUUGGAAUGGAUUAUUGUAACUAGUAAUCCUGAACGAGGAAUUCCUAGUAAGUCCCAGUCAACAGCUGGUACUGAUUACGUCCCUGCCCUUUGUACACACCGCCCGUCGCUACUACUGAUUGGACGUUUAAGCAAGAUUUUUAAACACUGACAGUGUGUAGUUCACGCUAUACUACAGUGAGAAGAAGAAGAUCGAGCUUACUUGUCUAGAGGAAGUAAAAGUCGUAACA